GCUGCGGGUUAAGCGAGCAGUGUGAUAAGAAGUAGCGGAACACACCUGUUCAGGGCCUGGUUAGUACUGGGAUGGGAGACCGCCUGGGAAUACCAGGUGCCUUAAGCU
RNAcentral lists this ribosomal RNA (108 nucleotides) under Salmo salar (Atlantic salmon). Lineage: Eukaryota; Metazoa; Chordata; Actinopteri; Salmoniformes; Salmonidae. The record is from RNAcentral.